CUGCGCGCCAUGUUUCUGGAGUCGAGACGCGUGAGGAAGCUUCGCUGAUCAAACGAGAACAAAGGAGCGGUGCGUUUGGAUGAUUACAGAUGAGACUUUAUGUACUGCAGAUAAUGAAUCAAGAUCAGUACAGAUUUGUUACUGGAGAUACAGUGGGGAAACACAGACCAGUAGAAAAGGUAACAAACCAAAGGAAGAGGACAGCAGCUUUGUUGUGUCAGUCGUGGUAAAUACAGGAACAUCCUUCAUUAAGAUGUGCAAGAGAAGCUUGCAAGGCAAGAUGAGGGAAAAAAAUUAAAGCCCAGUGUCAGUGAAGAUGGUGUGAUCAGGAAAUCUGAAGGAACAUCUCUCAGUACUCUACUACGAUGUUGCCCUGAUGAUGAUUGAGACAAGUUGUCAACGACAAGCCUGACAUCAGCCAGAUGGUACUUCAAAGGCCAGCUCUUUUCACAAUGAAUCAGCUGACAGGACAGACUCCAGUAAGAAUCCUCAGUGUUGAUCAAGAAAGUCCACAGCUCAACCCGUCUAGAGUGGGAAUUAUCUUGGAAGAAAGUUUGGUAAUGGAUGAACUGACCAAUAUCAGGCCUUCUAUGUCCAUUUUUUUUUUCUUCAUUUUAUUCCCUGCACCUGGACUAUCCUAAGUGCAUGAAAAGCACUUAAUAUUUUAUUCAGCAAGUAAUGCUCAACCUCAGAAAAGGUGAGCUGGCACCCAAAAUUCAAUACUGCCAAUAUUGUGAACUCUGAGUGGAAACAAACCAUAUAGUUUUGAUGCCAUUUGUUGUGAUUCUGAGAUAGACUGUGAAUGUGUUUAACAAUAAGUUAAUUUGCUAAACUAGUUUUUUUUUCAUGUUUUUAUGGGAAAUGUUUUCAGGAUAUGAAAAA
Molecule: long non-coding RNA, 882 nt
Organism: Onychostoma macrolepis
Lineage: Eukaryota; Metazoa; Chordata; Actinopteri; Cypriniformes; Cyprinidae
Exons: 6
Source: RefSeq, a predicted model, not a curated record